GGUGACGUCAUGACGCUACGCAAACGCAGACAGCGUUGCCGGGACGACGAUCAAGGCGUCCCACCGCGGCGGAAAGAGCAACGAGACUUUUCUUCCAGCCAUCCAUCUGGUCUUCCCGAUGGAGGCCAAAGUGAUGAUGAUGGAGGAGAGCGUUCAGCCCCUCCGAGUCCCCCCUCAGAUGUCCAUCUAUGCCGACCAGCACAAUAUUAUCCACCUGGUGCAGACCAUGGUAUCUAGCCUGGCUGUGGACCAGCCCGAAGACCCCAUCGCAUACCUUCUGCUUCUGCUGCAGGACAGCAGCGUGCACGUUCCCAGGGUGGUCCUGCUGGGUGCCCCCGCCGUGGGCAAAACCACUCUGGCCGGGCGACUGUGCGCCGACCUGGGAGCUGUGCACGUCACCAUGGAGACGCUCCUGGACGACCCAUCGCCUGCGGGCCAAGAGGCGCGCCGCCACGCGCUCAAGCAAGAGGAGGUGCCUGACGAUCUUCUGGUGAGCUUGAUUCAAGGCAGACUCAAAGAGUCUGACUGCUUCAACACGGGCUGGGUGCUGGACGGGCUCCCGCAAACUCGGCUGCAGGCUCGCAGUCUCCAGCAGGGCGGCGUCAUUCCCAAACACGUGGUUCUGCUGGUGGCCGGUGAAGACGUUCUCCUGGAGCGCCACCGCGGCAGGCUGCUGGACCCGCUGACCAGAGACGUGUACCACGAGACCUUCGCGCGACCCCGCGAGGAGGCGGCGCGGCGCGCCGAGAAGAGCGCCGACGCCCACGUCGGGGCUCUGAGAGCCCACCUGCAGCGCUAUCGUUGCAAGGUCACCGGCUUGAGCUCCGCCUACCGACACAUCCUCACCACAGUGGACGCCGACCAGCCGCCGCUCGACGUUUACCAGCAAGCCCUGGCCUUCCUGCGGACUCGGCGCUGUUCCCGAACUCCCAGGGUUCUCCUGUUGGGGCCGCCGGGCUCAGGGAAGAGACUUCAAGCCAAGAUGCUGGCAGACAAAUACAAGAUGGUGGACGUCUGUUGCAGUGACCUCCUUCGUUGGGCCGAAGCCGACCCGUCUUCAGUGGGAGAAGAAGUUCGAACGUACGUGCAGCACAACCGGACAGUUCCAAAAAGUGUCUCUUGGAAAGUCUUUCAAGAGCGACUGGACGGUGCGGACUGCAGCCAGCGCGGUUGGAUCCUUCACCACCUGCCGUGCGACCUGCAGCACGCCAAACACUUAACGGAGUCCCUCAACGCCCCCAACAGAGUUUUCUUCCUGGAGUUGACUGAUGACGUUUGUUUACAAAGAACCACAAUCACCCCGGUUCAUCCCAGGUCAGUUGCGACGCCAAAUCAAAUCUUCUCUAAUCGAAGCAACGUUUCAAUGCGUCCACGCGGCACCUGGCGACGUCAGCCAAUGUCUUGACAACACACGUAGUGUCACGCAAGCGCUCGGUGUGUACAGGACACACACCGCAGGCCUGCAGUGUGUGUUUCCAGAUGGCGUGCACGUGGAUGCAGAUCAGGAUCCCCAGUGUGUGUUUGAGGCUUUAGACAAACAACUCACCAUACAAACACACGCACAUUGACGCGCACACACACACACACACACACACACACGCAAAGUGCAGUUCAACGUUUGUCUGUCUCUCUCUCUCAAUCUCUGGAGCUGUCCAAUCAAUGUGAAUAAAAUCAGUGCCCAUGCCUGUCGAUGUCA
This is an RNA transcript of Syngnathus acus (greater pipefish), 1696 nucleotides long. It is a transcript of the gene named adenylate kinase 8, with no coding region annotated. The transcript has 15 exons. The record is from RefSeq and is a predicted model, not a curated record. NCBI's taxonomy places the organism in Eukaryota, Metazoa, Chordata, Actinopteri, Syngnathiformes, Syngnathidae.